Molecule: transfer RNA, 72 nt
Filed under: Rusa alfredi (Visayan spotted deer)
Lineage: Eukaryota; Metazoa; Chordata; Mammalia; Artiodactyla; Cervidae
Description: tRNA-Gln
Rfam family: tRNA
About the family: Transfer RNA (tRNA) molecules are approximately 80 nucleotides in length. Their secondary structure includes four short double-helical elements and three loops (D, anti-codon, and T loops). Further hydrogen bonds mediate the characteristic L-shaped molecular structure. tRNAs have two regions of fundamental functional importance: the anti-codon, which is responsible for specific mRNA codon recognition, and the 3' end, to which the tRNAs corresponding amino acid is attached (by aminoacyl-tRNA synthetases). tRNAs cope with the degeneracy of the genetic code in two manners: having more than one tRNA (with a specific anti-codon) for a particular amino acid; and 'wobble' base-pairing, i.e. permitting non-standard base-pairing at the 3rd anti-codon position.
Source: RNAcentral
UAGAAUUUGGUGUAUUUGGAAGCACAAAGAGUUUUGAAUUCUUGGGAGUAGGUUCAAUUCCUAUAAUUCUAG